This 301-nucleotide ribosomal RNA is filed under the name uncultured bacterium. Its description in RNAcentral is "partial 16S ribosomal RNA". It matches the Rfam family "Bacterial small subunit ribosomal RNA", at positions 509 to 807 of the family's 1533-position model. The record is from RNAcentral.
CAGUCGCCGCGGUAAUACAGAGGGUGCAAGCGUUAAUCGGAAUUACUGGGCGUAAAGCGCGCGUAGGUGGUUUGUUAAGUUGGAUGUGAAAUCCCCGGGCUCAACCUGGGAACUGCAUCCAAAACUGGCAAGCUAGAGUAUGGUAGAGGGUGGUGGAAUUUCCUGUGUAGCGGUGAAAUGCGUAGAUAUAGGAAGGAACACCAGUGGCGAAGGCGACCACCUGGACUGAUACUGACACUGAGGUGCGAAAGCGUGGGGAGCAAACAGGAUUAGAUACCCGGGUAGUCCCUGUCUCUUAUAC